CCGGAUAUGACACGCUCCCGCAUGGGAUGUGUGUGGAAAGCUCCGGCGGUGCAGGAUGAGCCCGCGGCCUAUCAGCUUGUUGGUGGGGUGAUGGCCUACCAAGGCGACGACGGGUAGCCGGCCUGAGAGGGCGACCGGCCACACUGGGACUGAGACACGGCCCAGACUCCUACGGGAGGCAGCAGUGGGGAAUAUUGCACAAUGGGCGAAAGCCUGAUGCAGCGACGCCGCGUGAGGGAUGACGGCCUUCGGGUUGUAAACCUCUUUCAGCAGGGAAGAAGCGAGAGUGACGGUACCUGCAGAAGAAGCGCCGGCUAACUACGUGCCAGCAGCCGCGGUAAUACGUAGGGCGCAAGCGUUGUCCGGAAUUAUUGGGCGUAAAGAGCUCGUAGGCGGCUUGUCGCGUCGGAUGUGAAAGCCCGGGGCUUAACUCCGGGUCUGCAUUCGAUACGGGCAGGCUAGAGUUCGGUAGGGGAGAUCGGAAUUCCUGGUGUAGCGGUGAAAUGCGCAGAUAUCAGGAGGAACACCGGUGGCGAAGGCGGAUCUCUGGGCCGAUACUGACGCUGAGGAGCGAAAGCGUGGGGAGCGAACAGGAUUAGAUACCCUGGUAGUCCACGCCGUAAACGUUGGGAACUAGGUGUGGGCGACAUUCCCGUCGUCCGCGCCGCAGCUAACGCAUUAGUUCCCCGCCUGGGGAGUAGGCCGCAAGGCUAAAACUCAAAGGAAUGACGGGGGCCCGCACAAGCGGCGGACAUGUGGCUUAAUUCACGCGCGAAACUUACCGGCUGACAUACNCCGGAAACAUCCAAGAUGGGUGCCCCUUGGCGGUACGUGCAUGGUGUCGUCAGCUCGUGUCUGAAGUGGGUAUCCCGACAGCACCUGUCGGUGCCGCAUGCCUUUGGGGAGGGGAUCACUGCCGGGG
This 922-nucleotide ribosomal RNA is filed under the name Streptomyces sp. 513-1. Its description in RNAcentral is "bacterial SSU rRNA". It matches the Rfam family "Bacterial small subunit ribosomal RNA", at positions 169 to 1148 of the family's 1533-position model. The record is from RNAcentral. Lineage: Bacteria; Bacillati; Actinomycetota; Actinomycetes; Kitasatosporales; Streptomycetaceae.